GAUCUGAUCCUUCAUCUGGGCACUCCAUAGGCCAUGGGCAGCUAAAAAAGAAAAGGGGGGGGAAGCUUGGAAAAAUGUGUAGACUUUGUUGAUUUGAAGGUCAGUAGGAACAAAGAGAUAGUGAAGGGAAAAUUGGGAACUUUAAGCCCUACCAGUUCUUUGGUGUUAAUAUACAGCUUUGCACACAAUGGGUAUUGUGGCCAAAACAUAACUUGGGAUAGGAGUUUUCAGAUCCUCGUGAUUCUUCUUCUGCGUACCUGCCCACUUUGAAAGUUAGGCUUGACCAUGUGACUUACUUUGUCUCUGAAGCAUCAGUGGAAGUGACAGGACAUAUAUCCAUUCUAGAUGGGAGCUUUAACAGCCAGUGCGCAGGGAGUUCCUACCAUGGCUCAGUGGAAACGAAUCUGACUAGUAUCCAUGAGGAUGCAGGUUCAAUCCCUGGCCUUGCUCAGUGGGUCAGGGAUCCAGCAUUGCCGUGAGCUGUGGUGUAGGUCACAGAAGCAGCUCAGAUCCCGAGUGGCUAUGGCUGUGGUGUAGCCCAGCAGCUGCAGCUCAAUUCCACCCCUAGCCUGGGAACUUACAUAUGCCACACCUGUGGCCCUGGAAAGCAAAAAAUAAACAGUGUGCAAUGCACCAUGUCCCCCACCCACCCCUAGUCCAUGCUGAUCGUGGAAUCAAAUGCUGAAAUGGAAGUCGGCCUGGGUCCCCAAGGGACUGUGGGGUAGAUUCUGUUGUCCACCUGUGUUACAGGUGUAUUAUGAGCAAGAAAUAAACCUUUAUUACACUAAGAUAGGGAAGUUUGAUUGUGAUUUGUUACCACAGCAUGACUUAGGUUUUCUUUAUUGAUAAAUUGGUUCCAGGAAGUGGGAGCUGCUCUAGCCCAGUGGCUUAGUAGCUGAUGUAUGGACAGCCAGGACACUGUCAUUGGAGAUCAGCCGCAGAACACAGAAAAUUAUUUGAGUGAUUCUUAGUUUCCUCAAGGAUGGUAAGUACCAACCAAUACCACCCUAGAUGCAUGGGAGAGAAGGUAAUCCACUGCUUAGUACCUUCAGGUGUUAAGGGCUCAACCUCUUUGGGCAGGAAAGCCCUUUCUUAUGUAUCUUGUGAGACAGAUUGUAUUUUAUAAACUUGUUCUUAAACUUGAGCACACAUCAGAAUCCCCAGGCGGGAUUGUGACCACACGGAUUGCUGGGCCUCACCCAGAGUUUCUGAUACAGUUGUCUUAUAGUGGCCCCCAAAUUGGCAUUUCCAGGUUCCUGAGUGGUGCUGAUGCUGCUGGUCGGAGACCACACUUUGAAAACACUGCUCAGGGAAGGAGUAUUAUGAGUGUACUUUGCCUUGUCUCAGCCACAAUACCUCCUGGAUGGGAAUUCUAAGUGUCUGUGCUCUUUAAUCUUUGUGGGUUUUUCUUUGUUUGCCAUUUCCAGUGACUAAGCCUUACAAGUUAGCCUGUUCCCUGUGGAACCUUUGCUCCCCAAUUUAAAAACUGAAUUCUAUAAACCUGUGAUGGUCUAAUGGCAACUUUUUGUUUCUUCAGCUUGUGUCAUAAUAUCAAGUGUUUACAAACCCUGUAUUCAUCCAGAAUUGGGUUUUAGAAUUUAGUCAGAGGACUUGACUUGAAUCCCAGCAGUCUUGUAAGAAAAAUGACCCACACAUUAUGCUUAGAAAGAAAUCUUUAUUUAUGCUAAUGCCACUGAGUGUCUCUUGUGUUGGCUCACUCCCUCAUGAAUGCUCAUUGAAAAACCGUCGUCUCCUCCCAAAACCUCAGCCAGGCAUGGAGGAGCUAGUGUGCUGCGUUGCCCUCUGUCAGCUGCUGCCUCUGAAUUCCAUCUCUGUUCUGAUUAUGCCACUGGGCAGAGACAUACAACGGAUUCCCUUUACAGAGCCCGGACAGUGGCCUAGACAUUCACACCAAGGUCCGAGAGACAGAGGCAUCUGUGAGGGACGACCACAAGGGCCAUGGUACCAGGAACCUACUUGAGGGAUCUCCCUGCCUAAACGCACACAGUGCCUGUUCAUAGCUCGGGGUCAUAGACUGAGGAUGAGUAAGAAGAGGGAGGAGAAAUCAGUGUUUCAUUGAGAAACUGGGGGCAACUUGUUUAUAUCCUCCCCAUCUAUAAAUUAAUCUUGAGAGACAAGACUCACUCUCAGAAAGUACACUUGUGACAAUGACUGAUGCAGGCCUUGAAUGACCAAAGAAUAUUAAUGAAGUUCCUCCAUAUGCCUCACUCCAUCAUUGUCAGAAUAUAUGACCAAAAGUAUGAUCAAAUAGCCAGAAGCUUGGUGUCUAUCUUAAAAACCCUGCUAUAUGUUCUGGUCUGUGUGAUAUUUAGAAAGGUUGGACAGAGUACUUCUAUUUAUCUUCAUGUGCCAGAGUGUUGGGACCCCAGCUCAGGAGGCCAGUAAGCCUACAAUUUGCUAGAGCACAGCAGACUUGGAUUCAUGAAUGUUUGGUCAGAUUCUUAUACGUGCUUCUAAUCCACCCUGAAAUUAGAAGCUAAGCACAGUCACUACCCACCAAUGGCUUACAAAGAUUACUUUUCAGUGAUCUGUACAUACGCUGACCUUAGCAUGUAGAUGUCAACAUGAGAAUUACUAACUGCUAUAAACAUUCCACCCCAUUUGGGUAAGGAGAUCCCAUGUUGUCUGAAGUCUAAGGAAAUAUAGAAAGGUGUCACUCUUUGCUUCUCCACCUCUGCUUAUUUGAUGCCUAAUAAAGGAUGACUUUUUUACUGCUUGUGUUCAUUCUCUGGCUUCCACCAAUAUAGUAAAUUCAUCUAAAGUUGACAACCAAUAAAAGAUAUUCACCUCUGGGCAAUCAGUGCAAAUAAAGAAGCGAUCUACAGGAAUCCAUUUUAUUUGGAGGUGAAAGUUGCUUCUACUAAUUCUUCAAGGAAUCCAUCAUUGUAAUUUCUAAGUGGAUGAAUUAGUUAUCUAUGGCUGUGAAAAUGCUUUGUAACACACAGCCCUUAGAGCAUCAGUGGCCUAAACGAUAAUCAGUUAGUUCCUGCUCACAUGUCCAAGCAGUCACUGAGGUGGUUCUGCCGACCUUGACCCCCUGCUGUCAGAUGAUCAAGGCUGGCUUUGGCAGGACAACUGAAACAAUUAAGGUCUGUUCUACAUGCCUCUGAACUUCCAGGUGGAUUGCCCAAGCAUGGUCUAAAGGCUGCAACAAAGAUUCAAGAAUAAGUAGACCAGCCUUCUUGAAGCUUGAAGCUUAGGGUCAGAAUUGACAUGUCAUCAUUUCCAUGGCAUUCUUUCAGCCCAAGAAAGUCACAACACCAGCCCAGAUUCAAGGAGAUUGAAAAACAAUUCCUGCCUCUUUUGUGAGAAGAAGCAAAAAGCCACGCGUGUUUGGCUUUGGAGCCAUAAAAUGCAAUAAAUCUUUCAAGGCGAGAUCCUCCCCCGGUAAUAUUUGUGGACAGGAUUUGGGGGUUGCCUAAGAGACAUACUUCUGUUACCCUCCUUAAAUACCUGAGGUAAAGGGGUGAGAUAGUAAAUCAGGUCUUUUUUUGUGGCUGAUAUUUGCAGAAACUUUUCAUGGUGGAGGCCGUAUGUCAGUGUUCAGCAUAUCAUCAUCACUACCCAGAUUGUUGCCACAGGGGAGCAGUAACUAGAGUUAUCUGCCACUUAGCAUCCAGCGACUGUGAACUUGAGCAGGGGACAGAUAAUUGUAGCAUGUUGGUGUGGGAGGGGCAGCCCAAAAGCAGCUGGAAGGAAAGAGUGUUGUCAGAAAAGAGUCUUAGGAGCUAGGGGUAAAUAUUUUUGAAAAGAAUCAGGGUGAAACAAUUAAGGGAGCAACUAGAUUGUUCUUACUGAGGAGCGAGCAUCAGAAAGCAGGAGAGGAUUUGAUCUCCACAGCCUUUGAUUUCCUCCUGGCAGAAUCUGAGAGGGGAUUGGCACCGGUCACAUUGGAGUUCCCUUCAGCGCUUCGCUGGCAAGCGUUGUUCUCACCCCAGGCCACGACUUCUUCCUAUGGCUAAUGGGGAAAGGCGCCAUAAUCAUUUCUGAAUUCUUGUCCAUGAAAUUGCUCUGAAGCAGCCUUACCAAGUAAAUCUGGCCCAGUCUCUGAGCACUCACAGGCAUCCCCCAUACUCUUUGAUAGCUGACCAUAGCCUGACAUGUCACAUGGAGCAUGGACACGGGUUGUGCCACCCAGGGGGUGAAUAGUGAGGUUGGGGAUGAGCCAGUUGGCAGAGCAGAGCUUUACCAGUUGCUAAUGAAGUGAAAGGAAUUCCUUAUUGCUUAACUGGAUUUUAACCCUUCUGGCUUGCUCUGGAUAUAAGCGGUCUUCUGAGUCUUCUCAAAAUACUGAGGCAUUCAUUCCUGGUGCCACUGAGAAGGUGAAGCAGACUGCUGCCAUCACCAGUCAAGCAUGAGACACAUCCUAAUAAGAAGAACAAGAAUAGGAACCAUGUUAACUAUCAAACACUGUGAGAAGUACUGGAGAUGAUGCUGUUAACCUGCCUGAGGCUUGACCCUCCUGAUGCUCCCAGAGGAAGGCUGAACCCUUGCUGGCCCAUGGCUUCAGACCAGAUGCUGCAGACAGACACGGAAGCUGUGCUGGAGCAAAAUGGACAUCUUCUUACAUCUGUAUCAGGGAGGGAGCCCAAGCAAGGCUGGGUGUCCUCAGGUACCAGAGAGAUUUUCUCUGUGUGUGGGUUCUAGGAUCACCAGCACUUUUAGUUUCCUUCUAGGGACUCCACUUUCCCUACAACCAAAAUGGUGAGCAGAACCAGUCUCAUGUGCUGAGUGAGGGGAGGGUGUCUGGCACAGGGUGUGGUUUAGAACCCGCACAGUGAGACAGGGUGUUCACAGCAAGUCUCAAGAUAGUGACAUAUCUGAAGGGCAGCUGUGCAAAAAGGGAAGAGAGAAGCUCUGUGCUGCUCCAGGAGGAAGGAGAUCUGAGUGCCAAGCCAGAAAUCUGACAACCAGCAUGCAGCACGUUUAAAUGACACACCCCAGAGAGAGGGAACAAGGAAAAGUUCAUGCAGCUAAAUCAACAAAGUAGAUGUUUGUUCAAUUAAAUGAAACUUGAAUGAGCACUGUUAGUCCCUCUAUGAGGGGCCUUGUUAAGGAGUGUGAGAGCUUGUGGAGGCAUCCUGAGGUCCCCAGCAAGGCCAAGACUGAUCCCUCCACUUGGUCUGAGCCCACCAAGCUUACUUGCUCUGUGCAACCUGGCCUAUCAGCGCCCUCUAGUGGACACCCAAGCAUAAGCCACUAAAAAACCCCUCAUAAUGUUUUUUAGACCAGUCAGGGGUUGUAAAAUCAGCGCAAUAAUAAGCACUUUUAAAAUCAGAUAAAUCAGGAGUUCCCUUGGUGGCUCAGCGGAAACAAACCCGGCUAGUAUGCUUAAGGACGUGAGUUCAAUCCAUGGCCCUACUCAGUGGGUUAAAGAUCCAGUGUUGCCAUGAACUGUGGUGUAGGUUGGCAGCUGUAGCUCUGAUUUGAUCCCUA
RNAcentral lists this long non-coding RNA (5457 nucleotides) under Sus scrofa (pig). RNAcentral describes it as "lncRNA (ENSSSCG00000053418.1)". Lineage: Eukaryota; Metazoa; Chordata; Mammalia; Artiodactyla; Suidae. The record is from RNAcentral.